AAAGCCUUGGAUACUGUUCCUAUCAUUUGUGCUAAUAACAUGGACGGACUCUUCUUCUAAAAAUUUCAGCCACUCCAAUAGCUCAUUUAUUUCAUCCGCCGUUAUUUUCGAAUCAUUUCCUGGCCUUUCCUUUAUAGGCCAAACAAAAAAACACUAUCAAGACAAACAAGAAAUCGAGAUAUGAACGUACCAAAAACUAUAUCCACAAACCCAAAAAUAAAAGAAAAACAAAAGAUGAGAACACAAACACUUAAUCACAGGAAAAAAAAUAGAAGCAAGCACCCUGGCGAUAAACCCAAAAGCAAAACAAAAACAGAACAAAAAAAAUCAAAGAAAAACAAGAUUAUCAACCUAAGAACAGAAUAGAGAAAAAAUAAAAUAACAAGGAAAAAGGAAAAUAGACUCCCAACAGGAAUCACAAAGAGAAUUACGCCAAAAACAGAAGGGAUGAAGCAACCCAAAC
This 463-nucleotide long non-coding RNA is filed under the name Gossypium raimondii (Peruvian cotton). Its description in RNAcentral is "long non-coding RNA (GRAI_LNC010737)". The record is from RNAcentral. Lineage: Eukaryota; Viridiplantae; Streptophyta; Magnoliopsida; Malvales; Malvaceae.